UUUUGUAUAAUGGGUCAGCGACUUAUAUUCUGUAGCAAGGUUAACCGAAUAGGGGAGCCGAAGGGAAACCGAGUCUUAACUGGGCGUUAAGUUGCAGGGUAUAGACCCGAAACCCGGUGAUCUAGCCAUGGGCAGGUUGAAGGUUGGGUAACACUAACUGGAGGACCGAACCGACUAAUGUUGAAAAAUUAGCGGAUGACUUGUGGCUGGGGGUGAAAGGCCAAUCAAACCGGGAGAUAGCUGGUUCUCCCCGAAAGCUAUUUAGGUAGCGCCUCGUGAAUUCAUCUCCGGGGGUAGAGCACUGUUUCGGCAAGGGGGUCAUCCCGACUUACCAACCCGAUGCAAACUGCGAAUACCGGAGAAUGUUAUCACGGGAGACACACGGCGGGUGCUAACGUCCGUCGUGAAGAGGGAAACAACCCAGACCGCCAGCUAAGGUCCCAAAGUCAUGGUUAAGUGGGAAACGAUGUGGGAAGGCCCAGACAGCCAGGAUGUUGGCUUAGAAGCAGCCAUCAUUUAAAGAAAGCGUAAUAGCUCACUGGUCGAGUCGGCCUGCGCGGAAGAUGUAACGGGGCUAAACCAUGCACCGAAGCUGCGGCAGCGACGCUUAUGCGUUGU
This 618-nucleotide ribosomal RNA is filed under the name Escherichia coli. RNAcentral describes it as "partial 23S ribosomal RNA". It matches the Rfam family "Bacterial large subunit ribosomal RNA", at positions 606 to 1224 of the family's 2925-position model. Lineage: Bacteria; Pseudomonadati; Pseudomonadota; Gammaproteobacteria; Enterobacterales; Enterobacteriaceae. The record is from RNAcentral.